This 508-nucleotide unclassified non-coding RNA is filed under the name Hevea brasiliensis (rubber tree). Lineage: Eukaryota; Viridiplantae; Streptophyta; Magnoliopsida; Malpighiales; Euphorbiaceae. The record is from RNAcentral.
CUUCGCCGUCAGUCGUCAAUACAAGCAUUAUUUCUAAUGAUUGGAGAUUCACAUGAGUGAUCCAGUUCAAAGAAAAGUUGAGAAACACGAACCCAAUAACAUGUGUGAAGCUUCUCAUAACCUUGAAUUGGAAAAAAUGGAACAGCUGGAGGACUCUGUUAAAGCCAAGAAUAGACUGCCUCCCAACGCAGAAGUUCAAGAUUCUUUAAAGGAAGAGAUUGUAGAACUCCAGGACCGAUUACAGAAUCAGUUUGUGAUGCGCCAUGCAUUGGAGAAGGCAAUGAAUUAUUACCCUUUUUCCUAUGAUACUAUGAAUGAUAACUCAAUCCCCAAGGCCACCAAGGAACUAAUUAAGGAAAUUGCUGUGUUAGAACUGGAAGUUGUACAUUUGGAACGGUAUCUUCUCUCUCUGUAUAGAAACACAUUUGAUCAUCAACAAGUGUCAUCUCAAUCAAUCUGUGAUGAACUAUGCAAAAUGAAUUCAAUCACACAUAAAGAGACAUUUCCG